AGAGAAGAAAAGAAAGGAUAAAAGGAAGGAAAAAGAAGAAGAAAAUUUUCAUUUUACUUUUCUUCUUCUAUUCCCUCCACCGCCAAGGUUUUCUCCAUCCAUUUCCACCACUUUUUUCACCAUUUCUGCACCAAAUUUCAGAGGAAUUUCCAGGAAAGAAGGCUGAGAAAGAAAGAAGAAAAGGUUCAAGAAGUUUUAUUGAAGAAAGACAAGGGAAUUGCAAACAAAGCUUCAUCCUUGGUAGAAAUUGAUUCACACAGCACACCUCUAAUGUUCUGUUGAUUCCGAGCUACACAAAAAACAUUAAGAGGGUAACUGGUUUUCACGCGAUUUCAAGAGGUCUAUGAUUUUUCUUGUUUUUCUAAGAGUACCGAUGGAGUUAGGAUCUCUAUUUGGAACAAGUUAAAGGGAUCGUGUGCGCGCGAUUAUUGAAGUUGUUCUGUUUCGAGGGUCAUCUGAGUUUAUUUACAGGGAAUCAGAUUUACAUGUCUGGAGGCCAAGAGGAAAUAGGUCGGAUUUACACAUCGAGAAACUAGUCCAAGAUUGUUAGAUUUCGUUGUUGACGUUGAGUGUACUCCGUAACAACAAUGUUGUCGUGAGUGCUGGGUGGGUCCCACUACAACAAAGACGAUGGAAGUGCUGGGCGGAUGCCACUACAUCGUAGAGCUUGUAAACGUUGUUGUACUGGGUGUACCCUACACAACGUAGAUUUGUCAUGUUAGUUAAAAUAUUUUGAUAUACUUGAUAGGCCUUGCUAAAUUUCAAUGACGUAUAUACUGAGUAUUUAAGGAAGCUAUUCUCAUGAUUAUACAUCUAUGUUUACGACUUGUAUAAACAGAUUUAUAAGUGUAAGCUUUCACGUGCUCUUACUUUUAAA
Molecule: long non-coding RNA, 877 nt
Organism: Cucumis melo (muskmelon)
Lineage: Eukaryota; Viridiplantae; Streptophyta; Magnoliopsida; Cucurbitales; Cucurbitaceae
Exons: 5
Source: RefSeq, a predicted model, not a curated record